Molecule: ribosomal RNA, 405 nt
Filed under: uncultured eukaryote
Lineage: Eukaryota
Description: eukaryotic LSU rRNA
Rfam family: Eukaryotic large subunit ribosomal RNA
Source: RNAcentral
GGUAAGCAGAACUGGCGAUGUGGGAUGAACCAACGUAAAGUUAAAGUGCCUAAAAGUACGUUCAUCAGAUACCACAAAAGGUGUUGAUUCAUCUUGACAGUUGGACAGUGGCCAUGGAAGUCGGAAUCUGCUAAGGAGUGUGUAACAACUCACCAACCGAAUGAAUUAGCCCUGAAAAUGGAUGGCGCUUAAACGUACUACUUAUACUUUACCAUUAAGAUAAAUGCUAAAUCUUAAUGAGUAGGAGGGCGUAUGGAUAAUUUAGAAGACUGAUAGUGAUAUUGGUUGGAAUUAUCUUUAGUGCAGAUCUUGGUGGUAGUAGCAAAUAUUCAAUAGGGAACAUUGAAGACUGAAGUGGAGAAAGGUUUCACAUGAACAACACUUGGAUGUGAGUUAGUCGAUCCU